Long non-coding RNA from Calypte anna (Anna's hummingbird), 1090 nucleotides. RefSeq lists it as uncharacterized. The transcript has 4 exons. Lineage: Eukaryota; Metazoa; Chordata; Aves; Apodiformes; Trochilidae. The record is from RefSeq and is a predicted model, not a curated record.
GGGCGGCAGGCACCACCUGGCUGCCCCGCACCAACACCCCGUCCACGUCGAAGAGGAACCCGAAGGCCGGCGGCUGCAAGGUACCCCAAAGACAGAUGGUGACUGAGUUCAGAGCAACUGGCUCACAACCAACCCCCAGCAAAGCAAAGCCCUGAACAGAGUUCCCUGCUUCCAGAGAAGCAAGAAAAUGGGAAAGUUGGACCAGAAUGGUCUUGCUGUCUACACAACGCUAUCAUGAAGCACUUGCAGGCUCACAACUCCUUUUCCUCACCUGCUGUCAAACUCGCUCACAUUGUGCAGCUGUUUCCGGUGUUCAAAACCCACUUCUGGGAGAUGACAGGAAAAACAAAACACAGCAUUUGUGCCAGCCAGUACCUGAGGAGAAGACGGGGCUAGCAGCCACCAGCACCCUUCCCGGACUCUUUUCUAGGACCAAGACAAAGGCAUUUCAAGGCAGGGAUAUAGGAGGGACAGCAGUGUUACACGUUCAAAGAUUUUGUUUUAAACUCUGCAUCCAACCUCUGCUCUGGUGAAGCCCUACUGCAAUACAAGAAAUCAGGAUUUAUAAAACACAACGAGUGCUGUGCUGCAAGCACUGAGACACAGUCAGGUGGCAGCUUAUUGGAAGGGACCGUCUCCAUUUGCAUGCGGAAAGAAGAUCCAACAACUGCAUGUAUUCUGUGGACAUCUUAAUGUAUCCAGCCCUGCCAGCUUGCCUCCUCUCAGCACCAGCCCAGCCCAGCGUGCAUCACAGAUCGCCGUGCUGGCGUAAAGUUGUAAUUGCCAGCACGGGGGCUGGGGCCAAGGGGAAUUCACGGAGAGAGUCAGACUCUCGGGCAGCCUAUCAGCUCCUAGGUCCACCAUGGAAAUUAAUCACUGAAGCUCAAGGAAGGACACCUCAAACAAAAACCCCAGUGACUACACUGAGGAGACAGGGCAUGCUCAGCCUGUUGAAAUGACAUUGUAAUUAAAACUUAAUAAAAAGUGGCACAUAUCGAUGAGUUGUAUUAACCUUGUCUAAAACCAUUUGGGCAAAUUAAAACUCCUCUCGGUCUUUUCCUGCUGCGUUAAAAGCAGCAAGGCAUGACAC